GAUGAACGCUGGCGGCGUGCCUAAUACAUGCAAGUCGAGCGAACGGACGAGAAGCUUGCUUCUCUGAUGUUAGCGGCGGACGGGUGAGUAACACGUGGAUAACCUACCUAUAAGACUGGGAUAACUUCGGGAAACCGGAGCUAAUACCGGAUAAUAUUUUGAACCGCAUGAUUCAAAAGUGAAAGACGGUCUUGCUGUCACUUAUAGAUGGAUCCGCGCUGCAUUAGCUAGUUGGUAAGGUAACGGCUUACCAAGGCAACGAUGCAUAGCCGACCUGAGAGGGUGAUCGGCCACACUGGAACUGAGACACGGUCCAGACUCCUACGGGAGGCAGCAGUAGGGAAUCUUCCGCAGUGGGCGAAAGCCUGACGGAGCAACGCCGCGUGAGUGAUGAAGGUCUUCGGAUCGUAAAACUCUGUUAUUAGGGAAGAACAUAUGUGUAAGUAACUGUGCACAUCUUGACGGUACCUAAUCAGAAAGCCACGGCUAACUACGU
RNAcentral lists this ribosomal RNA (496 nucleotides) under uncultured bacterium. RNAcentral's name for it is "partial 16S ribosomal RNA". It matches the Rfam family "Bacterial small subunit ribosomal RNA", at positions 28 to 506 of the family's 1533-position model. The record is from RNAcentral.